CAGAGAAAUGCGCACUGCGACUGUUUAACAAAAACACAGGUCUCUGCUAAGUCGAAAACGACGUAUAGGGGCUGACGCCUGCCCGGUGCUGGAAGGUUAAAGGGAGAGGUUAGCCGCAAGGCGAAGCUUUGAACUGAAGCCCCAGUGAACGGCGGCCGUAACUAUAACGGUCCUAAGGUAGCGAAAUUCCUUGUCGGGUAAGUUCCGACCUGCACGAAUGGCGUAACGAUCGUACGACUGUCUUAACGAGCGACUCGGCGAAUUUGUAGUACCGGUGAAGAUGCCGGUUUCCCGCAUCUAGACGGAAAGACCCCGUGCACCUUUACUAUACCUUUACUAUGAACUAUGGCACUUGCUGCGCAGGAUAGGUGGGAGGCUUUGAACUCAGGCUUUUGGGCUUGGGGGAGCCAACGGUGAGAUACCACCCUGCGAGUUCUGUGGUUCUAACCUACUCCCGUUACCCGGGAGAGGGACAUAGUAAGGCGGGUAGUUUGACUGGGGCGGUCGCCUCCUAAAUUGUAACGGAGGCGUGCGAAGCUACGCUCAGGCUGUUUGGAAAUCAGCCGUCGAAUGCAAAAGUAUAAGCGUGGUUGACUGUGAGACAGACAAGUCGAGCAGGUACGAAAGUAGGCUUUAGUGAUCCGGUGGUUCUGCAUGGAAGGGCCAUCGCUCAACGGAUAAAAGGUACGCCGGGGAUAACAGGCUGAUCGGAGCCAAGAGUUCAUAUCGACGCUCCGGUUUGGCACCUCGAUGUCGGUUCAUCGCAUCCUGGAGCUGUAGAAGGUUCCAAGGGUUAGGCUGUUCGCCUAUUAAAGCGGUACGUGAACUGGGUUCAGAACGUCGCGAGACAGUUCGGUCCCUAUCUGGUGUGGGCGUAGGAGAUUUGAGAGGGCCUGUCCUUAGUACGAGAGGACCGGGAUGGACGAACCUCUUGUGUUCCAGCUGUCGUGUCAACGGCAUGGCUGGGUAGCGAAGUUCGGUUGUGAUAAACGCUGAAUGCAUAUAAGCGUGAAACACUCCUCAAGAUGAGAUCUCCCAACCCUAAGGGUAAAGAAGGGCACAGGAAGACCACCUGUUUGAUAGGUCCGGAGUGGAAGUGUGGUAACACACGUAGCUUACGGAUACUAAUCGCCCGUUCGGCUUGACCAU
RNAcentral lists this ribosomal RNA (1149 nucleotides) under Terriglobia bacterium. RNAcentral describes it as "partial 23S ribosomal RNA". It matches the Rfam family "Bacterial large subunit ribosomal RNA", at positions 1780 to 2925 of the family's 2925-position model. Lineage: Bacteria; Pseudomonadati; Acidobacteriota; Terriglobia. The record is from RNAcentral.